UUGGUGAAGUGGAUGAUCCUAUGCUGCCGAGAAAAGCCUCUAGUGAGUGUUGUGGCGGCCCGUACCCUAAACCGACUCAGGUGGUCAGGUAGAGAAUACCAAGGCGAUCGGGUGAACUGUGGUUAAGGAACUCGGCAAAUUGCCCCCGUAACUUCGGGAGAAGGGGGACCUCUGCUGGUGAUGGGCUUUACGUUCUGAGCUGGUGGGGGUCGCAGUGGCCAGGGGGAAGCGACUGUUUACUAAAAACACAGGUCCGUGCGAAGUCGUAAGACGAUGUAUACGGACUGACGCCUGCCCGGUGCCGGAACGUUAAGGGGACCGCUUAGCCAGCUUCGGUUGGCGAAGGUGAGAACUUAAGCGCCGGUAAACGGCGGUGGUAACUAUAACCAUCCUAAGGUAGCGAAAUUCCUUGUCGGGUAAGUUCCGACCUGCACGAAUGGCGUAACGACUUCCCCGCUGUCUCAACCACAGACCCGGCGAAAUUGCACUACGAGUAAAGAUGCUCGUUUCGCGCAGCAGGACGGAAAGACCCCGGGACCUUCACUACAGCUUGACAUUGGCGUUUGGAACGUCUUGUGUAGGAUAGGUGGGAGACUAGGAAGCUGUCACGCUAGUGAUGGUGGAGUCAUUGGUGAAAUACCACUCUGGUCGUUUUGAACGUCUAACUCUGGUCCGUGAUCCGGAUCGGGGACAGUGUCUGGUGGGUAGUUUAGCUGGGGCGGUUGCCUCCUAAAGAGUAACGGAGGCGCCCAAAGGUUCCCUCAGCCUGGUUGGCAAUCAGGUGUUGAGUGUAAGUGCACAAGGGAGCUUGACUGUGAGACUGACAGGUCGAGCAGGAGCGAAAGCUGGGACUAGUGAUCCGGCAUCGGCGUGUGGAAGCGGUGUCGCUCAACGGCUAAAAGGUACCCCGGGGAUAACAGGCUGAUCUUCCCCAAGAGUCCAUAUCGACGGGAUGGUUUGGCACCUCGAUGUCGGCUCGUCGCAUCCUGGGGCUGGAGUAAGUCCCAAGGGUUGGGCUGUUCGCCCAUUAAAGCGGUACGCGAGCUGGGUUUAGAACGUCGCGAGACAGUUCGGUCCCUAUCCGCUGCGCGCGCAGGAGACUUGAAGGGGGCUGUCCCUAUUACGAGAGGACCGGGACGGACGAACCUCUGGUGUGCCAGUUGUACCGCCAGGUGCACGGCUGGUUGGCUACGUUCGGAAGGGAUAACCGCUGAAAGCAUCUAAGCGGGAAGCUCGCCUUGAGAUGAGGUCUCCCACCCCGUGAGGGGGUAAGGCUCCCGGUAGAUCACCGGGUUGAUAGGCCGGAGGUGGAAGCACGGUAACGUGUGGAGCUGACCGGUACUAAUAGGCCGAGGACUUGAUC
Molecule: ribosomal RNA, 1363 nt
Filed under: metagenome
Description: bacterial LSU rRNA
Rfam family: Bacterial large subunit ribosomal RNA
Source: RNAcentral